This 72-nucleotide transfer RNA is filed under the name Stegodyphus dumicola. Its description in RNAcentral is "tRNA-Thr". It matches the Rfam family "tRNA". Rfam says of the family: Transfer RNA (tRNA) molecules are approximately 80 nucleotides in length. The record is from RNAcentral. Lineage: Eukaryota; Metazoa; Arthropoda; Arachnida; Araneae; Eresidae.
GCCUUCGUGGUGUAACGGUAGCACGCUGGGUCAGUAUUCCAGAGGUCCGUGGUUCGAUUCCCGGCGAAGGCG